GGGAGUGGAUGUUGUGAUGUAACAUGACUAAUAGGUAAAAGAAUGUAAAAAUUACUAUAAUAUAAGAAAUCUUACUUCAAAAUAUUAGAGCAAAUUAUCUUAGAGAUAUAAUUAAUAGACAAAAGGAUAGUGAAACUAAAAAGUACCAAUAUUAUCUUUUACAAAUGGCCUUCUACUUACUUUAUUGGACCAUAAAUAAGGCAAAAUAAAGUAGAUUAGAAAAAUAAAGAAUAUGAGCAUUUGUAGGAAGAAGUUAAGAAUUGAUUUUAAUAAAAUUUAACUCAAAAGAAAAAAUAUUUGAUACUUGAGGAGGGCCAAUUAUCAACCUAGGUCGAAAUCAAAUCCCAAGACACAAAACCAAGCACCUACAACAACUCUGAGAUUUUUUUUUUCUAGAUUGGAGAGUGGGAUUUGAUAGAAAACUGGAUAAGAUUUCUAUGAGCAUUUUUUUUGUGUGAUUUGGAUUCAUAAUGACUUUGUAAGAACUUUAUAAAGUCAAGUUUGUUUUAAGAUGACUGGAAUUUUGGUGAAAUAAAAUAAAGUUGACGUUUUGGACAAUGUCAAGAGUUUUGUAAUAGAUCUAUAGGUGAAAUUUUGUAGAUUAAUGGUUAUAGUUGUACUUAGUAUGUAUUGUGAAUUUUAGCUAGAUGUAACAAUUGAAUUGAGGAUUAUUGAGGUUUAAGUGGGUUAUGGUCUCAAAAUUUAGGGUUUUGAAGACCAAUGAAGAUUUUUAAGAAAUCUUGCAAUCUAUCACUUGAAAUUAGAGUGAAAGUUGUGUGUUUAGGUAGUAGACUUAUUUUUCUUUGUAUGGAAGAAUUUUGAGAUUGAUUGAAUGGAUUGAUAAGAAGAAAUUGGCAUUGAAAAUUCAGCAUUGAGAUUGGAAAAGAAGGUCAAUGCACACCCAAGCACAUUUUUGUGAUUAUCAUUCAUUUGAAGUUAAGAAUAUUAUCUUGCUCUUCAAAAAUUUUGAGUUCAAUCAACAAGUUGGAUUGGAAGAAAUUGAGUACUUAACUUUUGUAUUUUGAAGGAUAUUGGUUUUUGCUAUUGGAUAUUGAUUAUUACUACUGGAUAUUGGUUGUUGCUACUAGAUAUUGAUUGUUGGUAUUGGAUAUUGGUUAUUACUAUUGGAUAUUGGUUGUUGCUAUUGAUUAUUAGCUAUUGCUACUGGAUAUUGAUUUAUGCUACUGAAUAUUGACUAUUGCUACUAGAUAUUAGUUACUGCUAUUGAUUUUAGAUUAUUGCU
Molecule: long non-coding RNA, 1243 nt
Filed under: Physcomitrium patens
Lineage: Eukaryota; Viridiplantae; Streptophyta; Bryopsida; Funariales; Funariaceae
Description: long non-coding RNA (PPAT_LNC003364)
Source: RNAcentral